GACGAACGCUGGCGGCGUGCUUAACACAUGCAAGUCGAACGGAAAGGCCCUGCUUUUGUGGGGUGCUCGAGUGGCGAACGGGUGAGUAACACGUGAGUAACCUGCCCUUGACUUUGGGAUAACUUCAGGAAACUGGGGCUAAUACCGGAUAGGAGCUCCUGCUGCAUGGUGGGGGUUGGAAAGUUUCGGCGGUUGGGGAUGGACUCGCGGCUUAUCAGCUUGUUGGUGGGGUAGUGGCUUACCAAGGCUUUGACGGGUAGCCGGCCUGAGAGGGUGACCGGCCACAUUGGGACUGAGAUACGGCCCAGACUCCUACGGGCGGCAGCAGUGGAGAAUAUUGCACAAUGGGCGGAAGCCUGAUGCAGCAACGCCGCGUGCGGGAUGACGGCCUUCGGGUUGUAAACCGCUUUCGCCUGUGACGAAGCGUGAGUGACGGUAAUGGGUAAAGAAGCACCGGCUAACUACGUG
RNAcentral lists this ribosomal RNA (468 nucleotides) under uncultured bacterium. RNAcentral's name for it is "partial 16S ribosomal RNA". It matches the Rfam family "Bacterial small subunit ribosomal RNA", at positions 28 to 507 of the family's 1533-position model. The record is from RNAcentral.